Long non-coding RNA from Fundulus heteroclitus (mummichog), 1890 nucleotides. RefSeq lists it as uncharacterized. The record is from RefSeq and is a predicted model, not a curated record. Lineage: Eukaryota; Metazoa; Chordata; Actinopteri; Cyprinodontiformes; Fundulidae. The transcript is spliced from 2 exons.
AGCCUCGGUGUACUUUAGCCCAAUAAGUCGUUGUGGUUUGCUGUGAAUCAGGGUUAUAGGAAUGCAUUGAAGUAAAUUUACACAAACAUUUGUCAAUGAUUGUUGAUCAAUGGCUUGUGUGUCUUGUGUGAAAUUACCAAUGUUAAUAUCGACUAAUGUAGCAUUUUAUUCCCAGAUGUACAAGCAUUUUCAAUUUGGGUUGUUUCAACUUGUUAAAAAUCCGUUAAAUGGAAGGUGAGUCUGAGCUCUUCUACUGCUCUGAUAACUGAGUUUCUACAAACUCACUGAGAUUUGACAUCUGUUUACUAAAGGUAAGGGAACUACUGCUGGCGACUUCCCUUUAAAAAAAUCUGAAUUAUCCCAGAAGGAAAGUGUGAUAGAUGUAGUUUAACAAACAUGCAGACCAGGACAGAUAUGUAAAUUAUUUAGUCUAAAAAGAGCUGACACUUCUUGAACUGAAACCAGUGCUGAUAAGUGCUGUUCCUCCUGAGUGGAGCGAUGUGCCGGUAGCCGCCUGCUAGCGGCUCAUCUGAGUCAGUCAGAACUGUGGGCGAAGGUCACCGGACAGAUUAGACAGCUUUGCCAACAUACAACAGAGUUUGACGGGGUAGAACUUUGUCUGGUUGGUUGAAUCGCGCUAUUAUCCAAGCAGAAGUCAGCGUGGUUCAGGAUGGCACAGCCUUUGUGGGUGUCCUCACACACCCACUGGUUCCAGCACCUUUCCUCCUGCUGUGAUGCCCUCAGUUCUGCCCUCUGGUGCAGGCUCCGCCCACAUCGCACCAUUUCCAGACCCAUCUCUGCAUGUUCCUCUCUGCAGGGGAACAAGGGUCAUUUUGCUCCUUCGCCGUUGCACAACUGGUAGUUAUUUCAUACCCAUUCUUCAGGGUAGGAAAUGGACCCAUCUUCGAGGGGGUGUUUGGUAUUGACAAUGCGUUAGCGUCUAAUCUCCAGGGAUGUUUCCUAUAUGCUUUUAGAAUCAAAGAUUUAAAGUAUUUUUUUUUUCUUCAAUCUACUCACAGUCUGCUAUAAGAAAAGCUGGUGAUAGACUUUAACUCUGGGGAAGUUUGUUUUCACCAGGAGUCAAAAGCUGUCGUAAUACUUAAGAGUCUAAUGGCCCAAACAUGGAUCAGAACCUGCAUAAAUGGAAACAGGAUGUAUAAGGCAUCUUCAAAGAAUAAUACAUAAUUAAAUUGAAUUAUACGUCUGAUUUGAAUAAUGACAUGAUUAUAACAUUGUUAAAAUCUUUGGUUUAUAAAACAAAAUGUUCACCUUCAAAGAGAAAUAUACUGAUGUAAUGGUAUGGGUACAUGGCACAAAAUAGUUUGUCAACUGGUUUAAAGUGGAAGAAGGAUGAUGUGAAACAGCGAAUUAUUAAAUUGACUCUGAAUGUGCUCGACUGGACCACCAGAAGCAUCAGUAGCUACAUUACCAUGAAUUCCUGUAGAGGGCGCUGGUUAAAUGGAAAAGCCUGGAUAAUAAAACCAAUCUGUGUUUGUCUAUUUUACAACUAUUACAAUCCAUCUAAUUUAGGAAGCAGGUGGAACUUCAGAUUAGCUGCUCCACAUAUUAAAAACAAAAGUAAACAAAGAAUUGAAGGACUUAAUAUUUGAUCUUAAUCUGCCUUCACAUGCUGAAAUUCUUCCAAAACAACAGUGCUGCUUUCAGUUGGGUUUGUUACCUACUGCAUAUUGUAACAUUUUGUCAUUAAAAGGAAGAAUCUUUUUCUAUUUUGUUGAAGUUGACUCUGUCUGCUUUCUUAUUUUGACUAUAUUUAGGAUGUUUUGCACUGUAUGUUUAGGUAUAAGUUAAUGGCUGACCUGAUUUCUCAGUGUUCUGUGCCGCCUGUGUCAGGACAGCAAAAUUACCGGAAUAAAGAGAAAAAUAACACCA